GUCAAUGUACAUGGCUCUGGAGUCGGAGUAUUGUCUACUUUUGAGGUACAGUGCAUUUUCAUCAUGCUAUUGAAUGGCUUUUGUUUUUGUUGCUUUUUUUUUUUGUUUGGUUAUUUGCUUUUUAGGCUUUGUUGUUGUUGUUGUUGUUAAAGUAGAUGUGCCUUUAAGCUUUGUUUACUCUUGGCAAUAAUAGAUCUUUUUGCUUUAAGGAAACAAAGCUUAUAAAAAAAUCUUACAAGUCGUUUUGGACGUCAAAUGGCUCUUACAAAUGAUUUAAUUAUAAGUUAAUCAAGAACAUGUGGAUUAUAUUUCUCUUCCUAAAUACUCAUUGGUUUAACAUUGCAGGCAAGCUCUUAGAGUGCUUCAGAAUAUUUGUUGUUACUUAUUGGCUUUCCAAAUAGGAAUGAAGUGAUGGAGAAAAUAAAAAUUCAGGCCAGGCACUGUGGCUCACACCCGUAAUCCUAGAACUUUUGGAGGCCAAGGUGGGCGGAUCACAAGGUCAGGAGAUCAAGACUAUCUUGGCCAACAUGGUGAAACCCCGGCUCCACUAAAAAUACAAAAAUUAACUGGACGUGGUGGCGUAUGCCUGUAUUCCUAGCUACUCGGUAGGCUGAGGCAGGAGAAUCACUUGAACCGGGGAGUCAGAGGUUGCAGUGAGCCGGAAUCACGCCACUGCACUCCAGCCUGGCGACAGAGAGACUCUGUCUCAAAAAAAAAAUAAAAAUAAAAAUAAAGAAAACAAAAUUUAGAUCCCUUUCUCCAAUCACCUCAAACUGUUAGAACAACAGUUUUUGUAUAAGCAUUCAUUCAUAGGCAGAAGUAGUAGUUAAUGGAACAAAAUUUGCCCAAUGACAUGCUCUAUUUAAAAACGUUCUUUUUGUUAGAGUGGUCAAAACUAUGACUUAUUCCUUUGUGAAGACAGCUGAACCUAGGGCUUUCUUGGUUAGCGUACAUCAUGGCAUUGCACAUUGGCACGUUUUUCAGUGAUAUUGACAUGCAUUGCUUAAAUGA
This 1011-nucleotide long non-coding RNA is filed under the name Homo sapiens (human). RNAcentral describes it as "HSALNT0335852". Lineage: Eukaryota; Metazoa; Chordata; Mammalia; Primates; Hominidae. The record is from RNAcentral.